AUGUUAUUUUUUGUACAUUGGUAGUUUUUUGAUUGUAUAAUUGGUGUUCCAGAAUAAUCGGCUAUGCAUUUUAAUUUUUAACUCUAAUUUUUGUAAUAUCUUUUUUUUUUUGUUUUUUAUUUCAUUUUUUGUAAAAUAUUUUGAUUUGUUUUUUAUUUAGGGGAUUUUGAAAGUUUGGUUGUUGAACUGGAUUAGUACCCAGGUAGUCAAAAUUUAUUAGUUCGGGAGUAAAGUUGUAUUUAAACCGUAAAAAUAUUGGCUGACUUUAAAUUUUUCUUUGGAAUAUGUGUUUUUUGGAGAGCCCUCCUUUUUAGUGAUAUUUUUUUGGUACAUGUAUGAUUGUUUAGUUUUUAUUUUGUCUGUAGGGCUAUUUUUUUUAGAUUUAAAACAGAUAUAUACUUGGCUUAUGGUUUUAUUAUCAUGUAUUACUAUUUUUAAUUUUUUUUUUUUGGAUAUAAUUUUAAUUUUUUUUUGAAAUUGGAAA
This 484-nucleotide ribosomal RNA is filed under the name Micipsella iberica. RNAcentral's name for it is "partial 12S small subunit ribosomal RNA". The record is from RNAcentral. Lineage: Eukaryota; Metazoa; Nematoda; Chromadorea; Rhabditida; Onchocercidae.